Molecule: long non-coding RNA, 512 nt
Organism: Sipha flava (yellow sugarcane aphid)
Lineage: Eukaryota; Metazoa; Arthropoda; Insecta; Hemiptera; Aphididae
Exons: 3
Source: RefSeq, a predicted model, not a curated record
AUCAUGCGAAUCAAUGAUUGUACAAAAAUCGUUGGACAAAAGAAAUAUUAAUUCACACCAAAGAAAAUAUGAAUAGUAAAUAAUGUUGUGUGUAAAGUUUACCCUAAAGGUUUUGAAUGCUUAUUUCAUUCAAAAUUUUCUGACGAAGACAGGAAUGAAAUCAAACAUUUGGUUGAUUUAUAUUUCGCCACAAUUGAUAAAAACAAUAUUAUUGCUAAACUCAAGAUGUGAAGAUUGAAAUUGGCCUCUAGUGACUUAAACCUAACUAAAAAUGGAUUAGAAGCUUUAGACAAUUGCAAUGAAGAAGUAUAUCGAAAUAUCCAUUUUUUAUUAAAAAUAUUUGUUAGUUUGCCUGUUUAAACAGCAACUCCAGAGAGAAAUUUCUCUAGUUUAAAACGCCUCAAGACCUAUCUGCGAAAUACAAUGGAAGAGGUUUAAUAUAAUAAAAUUAUAUAAUAUAAUAACAUUAUUUGUUUUAGACAAGUUUAAAUGAAUUAACACUGUUGUCAUUU